RNAcentral lists this signal recognition particle RNA (262 nucleotides) under Chlorocebus sabaeus (green monkey). RNAcentral describes it as "Metazoan signal recognition particle RNA". It matches the Rfam family "Metazoan signal recognition particle RNA". From Rfam's summary of the family: The signal recognition particle (SRP) is a universally conserved ribonucleoprotein. It is involved in the co-translational targeting of proteins to membranes. Lineage: Eukaryota; Metazoa; Chordata; Mammalia; Primates; Cercopithecidae. The record is from Rfam by way of RNAcentral.
GCCAGGCAUGGUGGCUCAUACCUGUAAUCCCAGCACUUUGGAGGCUGAGGCAGGAGAAUUGUUUGAUCCUGGGAGGCGGAGAUUGCUGUGAGCUGAGAUCAUGCCACUGUACUCCAGCCUGGGUGACAGAUCAAGACUCUGUCUCAAANNNNNNNNNNUUUGAGACAGAGUCUUGAUCUGUCACCCAGGCUGGAGUACAGUGGCAUGAUCUCAGCUCACAGCAAUCUCCGCCUCCCAGGAUCAAACAAUUCUCCUGCCUCAG